RNAcentral lists this ribosomal RNA (433 nucleotides) under uncultured bacterium. RNAcentral's name for it is "partial 16S ribosomal RNA". It matches the Rfam family "Bacterial small subunit ribosomal RNA", at positions 29 to 507 of the family's 1533-position model. The record is from RNAcentral.
AGCGAACGCUGGCGGCAGGCCUAACACGUGCAAGUCGAACGAACUCUUCGGAGUUAGUGGCGGACGGGUGAGUAACACGUGGGAACGUGCCUUUUGGUUCGGAAUAACUCAGGGAAACUUGUGCUAAUACCGAAUGUGCUCUUCGGGGGAAAGAUUUAUCGCCAUUAGAGCGGCCCGCGUCUGAUUAGCUAGUUGGUGAGGUAACGGCUCACCAAGGCGACGAUCAGUAGCUGGUCUGAGAGGAUGACCAGCCACACUGGGACUGAGACACGGCCCAGACUCCUACGGGAGGCAGCAGUGGGGAAUCUUGCGCAAUAGGCGAAAGCCUGACGCAGCCAUGCCGCGUGAAUGAUGAAGGUCUUAGGAUUGUAAAAUUCUUUCACCGGGGACGAUAAUGACGGUACCCGGAGAAGAAGCCCCGGCUAACUUCGUG